GGCGCCCGUGAGGAGGUGGUUCCCUGCUCACCUGGCGUCAGGCCUCCGGCUCCAAGGCUCUCCUCCGGCGUUUCCCGCCCUUCCGAGGGUUCGCCGGGCGCUCCCGGGCCUGAGGGACCCGCACCGAGCUCGAGGCGCCGCACACGGACCCCGACGGGGCCUUCGGCUCGGGGCUGCUCCGCCUGGGCAACCCUUACGUCAAGGACAGCCUGCUGCCAGCCUCCCUGAGGAGACGCCUGCCCGCCGAGGUGUUUACUAAAGUGAGCAAGGAUCUUCUGCAGCUGUUUGGAGCCUGAGUGGCAGAUGACACCAACUAACUGGGGACAAGUAUGAGUUACACCCCAAAGGCUGCUGCAGCAGGAUGCCCAGACAGCACGUAGACCACCUCCACACCUGCAGAGCUGAGAGGAUCUCAGCUGAGCAGGUACAGGUAAGAAGAGAAGUUCUCUUGCCUUGGAGCAGUACAGCUGCCUGGGAAACAAGAAGGGUUCCUGCUGCUUCCAGCUCUGGACGACGUGUGAAAGCAGGGAAGCAGGUGUGGAAGGAGGGCAGAGACUGAACCUCAGGAACACCAAUACCAACACAGGCACAGGGAAAGGAUGGUCUGGCGCAGCUUCUAAGGCCAGCUGCAGAGGCAGAAGAGCCAGCAGAAAGGAAACCCACUGCUGGAUUAAGGAUCACUUAAGCACAGAAGACAGAAUACUGAAUACCCUUUGGCAACAAAAUACCACCGCAAAAGGAAAAGGCUAGACAAGGAGCAAUGGAAAGACAGAACUAAAACAAACAAAAGACUUCAUCUUCUGGAAUGCAGACUCUGGGAAAAUGAGAAACCAUCAUUAAUAUAAAGGAAAAACCAAGUCAGUUUGAAGUGAAAGUCAUUGGACGAGCCCGCCUUUAAUGUACGCUGACUGCUUCAGAGCCAGACUCACACUUGUCCUUAAUCACGUCGAGACUGCCUCCUUGAGAACCUCCCCUCAGGUACCACCACUCCGGUCACCAGGCUCCAUCAGUGCUAACUCCCAACAGUGAUACCUCUCCCCAUUUCUACUGCCAUCACCUGCCACAAGGUAGGUACAAAUACCUGUUUAAAAAGAACUAAACCUUCACAGCUACAGCCCAUGUUAUGGUUGGGGGUGGGUGGGGUGCAGCAGCUAAUUGUUCACUAGUUACUGGGGUAGGACAGGCACUAUGAUUUCACAGGAAUAUUUGACAU
Lagenorhynchus albirostris (white-beaked dolphin) is the source of this 1213-nucleotide long non-coding RNA. RefSeq lists it as uncharacterized. The record is from RefSeq and is a predicted model, not a curated record. The transcript is spliced from 6 exons. NCBI's taxonomy places the organism in Eukaryota, Metazoa, Chordata, Mammalia, Artiodactyla, Delphinidae.